UCGAGGGGUAGCAGGGGAGUAGCAAUACUCCCGCUGGCGACCGGCGCACGGGUGAGUAACACGUAUGCAACCUGCCCUUGUCAGGGGGAUAAGCGGAAGAAAUUCCGUCUAAUACCGCAUAACGCUGCGGGGAGACAUCUCCCUGCAGCCAAAGAUUUAUCGGACAAGGAUGGGCAUGCGGCGCAUUAGCUGGUUGGCGGGGUAACGGCCCACCAAGGCGACGAUGCGUAGGGGUUCUGAGAGGAAGGUCCCCCACACUGGUACUGAGACACGGACCAGACUCCUACGGGAGGCAGCAGUGAGGAAUAUUGGUCAAUGGCCGGGAGGCUGAACCAGCCAAGUCGCGUGAGGGAAGACGGUCCUAUGGAUUGUAAACCUCUUUUGUCAGGGAGCAAAAACUGCCACGCGUGGCAGGAUGAGAGUACCUGAAGAAAAAGCAUCGGCUAACUCCGUGCCAGCAGCCGCGGUAAUACGGAGGAUGCGAGCGUUAUCCGGAUUUAUUGGGUUUAAAGGGUGCGUAGGCGGACAGUUAAGUCAGCGGUAAAAUUGAGAGGCUCAACCUCUUCCCGCCGUUGAAACUGAUUGUCUUGAGUGGGCGAGAAGUAUGCGGAAUGCGUGGUGUAGCGGUGAAAUGCAUAGAUAUCACGCAGAACUCCGAUUGCGAAGGCAGCAUACCGGCGCUCAACUGACGCUCA
This 695-nucleotide ribosomal RNA is filed under the name uncultured bacterium. RNAcentral describes it as "bacterial SSU rRNA". It matches the Rfam family "Bacterial small subunit ribosomal RNA", at positions 62 to 749 of the family's 1533-position model. The record is from RNAcentral.